Molecule: ribosomal RNA, 554 nt
Filed under: Borreliella garinii
Lineage: Bacteria; Pseudomonadati; Spirochaetota; Spirochaetia; Spirochaetales; Borreliaceae
Description: bacterial SSU rRNA
Rfam family: Bacterial small subunit ribosomal RNA
Source: RNAcentral
AGAGUUUGAUCCUGGCUUAGAACUAACGCUGGCAGUGCGUCUUAAGCAUGCAAGUCAAACGGGAUGUAGCAAUACAUCUAGUGGCGAACGGGUGAGUAACGCGUGGAUGAUCUACCUACGAGAUGGGGAUAACUAUUAGAAAUAGUAGCUAAUACCGAAUAAAGUCAAUUAAUUUGUUAAUUGAUGAAAGGAAGCCUUUAAAGCUUCGCUUGUAGAUGAGUCUGCGUCUUAUUAGCUAGUUGGUAGGGUAAAUGCCUACCAAGGCGAUGAUAAGUAACCGGCCUGAGAGGGUGAACGGUCACACUGGAACUGAGAUACGGUCCAGACUCCUACGGGAGGCAGCAGCUAAGAAUCUUCCGCAAUGGGCGAAAGCCUGACGGAGCGACACUGCGUGAAUGAAGAAGGUCGAAAGAUUGUAAAAUUCUUUUAUAAAUGAGGAAUAAGCUUUGUAGGAAAUGACGAAGUGAUGACGUUAAUUUAUGAAUAAGCCCCGGCUAAUUACGUGCCAGCAGCCGCGGUAAUACGUAAGGGGCGAGCGUUGUUCGGGAUUAUUG